ACACCGUUUUGGUGAAGUGGUUAUCACGCUUGCCUUCCAAGCAAGCGGGGCGGGUUCAAUUCCCGAAUGGUGUA
RNAcentral lists this transfer RNA (74 nucleotides) under Dendrothele bispora CBS 962.96. Its description in RNAcentral is "tRNA-Gly". It matches the Rfam family "tRNA". Rfam says of the family: Transfer RNA (tRNA) molecules are approximately 80 nucleotides in length. Lineage: Eukaryota; Fungi; Basidiomycota; Agaricomycetes; Agaricales. The record is from RNAcentral.